This 274-nucleotide ribosomal RNA is filed under the name uncultured bacterium. Its description in RNAcentral is "partial 16S ribosomal RNA". It matches the Rfam family "Archaeal small subunit ribosomal RNA", at positions 473 to 747 of the family's 1478-position model. The record is from RNAcentral.
AAACCAGCACCUCAAGUGGUCAGGAGGAUUAUUGGGCCUAAAGCAUCCGUAGCCUGUUCUAUAAGUUUUCGGUUAAAUCCACUAGCUCAACUAGUGGGCUGCCGAAAAUACUGUAGAACUAGGGAGUGGGAGAGGUAGACGGUAUUCGGUAGGAAGGGGUAAAAUCCUUUGAUCUAUUGAGGACCACCUGUGGCGAAGGCGGUCUACCAGAACACGUUCGACGGUGAGGGAUGAAAGCUGGGGGAGCAAACCGGAUUAGAUACCCCAGUAGUCC